RNAcentral lists this unclassified non-coding RNA (325 nucleotides) under Hevea brasiliensis (rubber tree). Lineage: Eukaryota; Viridiplantae; Streptophyta; Magnoliopsida; Malpighiales; Euphorbiaceae. The record is from RNAcentral.
CAUGGAAACAAUUAAAACUGUAAGCUCUAUUUCUUUAUUCUUUAAGUUUCUGCCGACUUCCAUUGUUUAUGCAGAUAAUGGAAGCCGUGAUUUUCAAUGCAAUUGCUUAUUUUCCUUUUGUCAGAUGUUCUAGAACAUGUUCUUGCUACGAGCUUACUGAAACUUGGUUAUUACAAAGAGAGGAAUAAAGGGUUUAAAGCUAUUUACUUUCUGUUAGUUUAGCUUUUUGCUGAGAGUUAUCCUUUAAUGGAACAGUGGUUGAUUAUUGGAACAGUGGUUGAUUAUUGUGUUCUUAUUGUUGUUUGAACUGUUGCUUGAAGAAAUG